GACGAACGCUGGCGGCGUGCUUAACACAUGCAAGUCGAACGGAAAGGCCCUGCUUGCAGGGUACUCGAGUGGCGAACGGGUGAGUAACACGUGGGUGAUCUGCCCUGCACUUCGGGAUAAGCCUGGGAAACUGGGUCUAAUACCGGAUAGGAGCCAUUUUUAGUGUGAUGGUUGGAAAGUUUUUUCGGUGUAGGAUGAGCUCGCGGCCUAUCAGCUGGUUGGUGGGGUAAUGGCCUACCAAGGCGGCGACGGGUAGCCGGACAGUGGGGGUGGACGGCCACACUGACACUUAGAGACGGCCCAGAUGCCGACUGGUGGACGAUGGGGGGAAUACUGCUCAAUGCGUGCCAGGCUGGUGAAGCGACGCCGCGUGUGGGAAAGCGGCCUUGUGGUUGAAGAAACGUUUCGCGAGAGACCAAGCCUGUUGUGACGGUACCUAGAGAAGAAGCACCGGCUAACUACGUG
Molecule: ribosomal RNA, 465 nt
Filed under: uncultured bacterium
Lineage: Bacteria
Description: partial 16S ribosomal RNA
Rfam family: Bacterial small subunit ribosomal RNA
Source: RNAcentral